Molecule: RNA transcript, 1688 nt
Organism: Clarias gariepinus (North African catfish)
Lineage: Eukaryota; Metazoa; Chordata; Actinopteri; Siluriformes; Clariidae
Exons: 6
Source: RefSeq, a predicted model, not a curated record
CACUAGUGAUGAAACCGAAAGCAAAAUUUCAGACACGUCACGUAUGUACGCGUGGAGCUCGAAACGAAAGAAAGGAAGCAAUAAGGAAGAAUGGAAAUAAUCAAGAAAGAUAAAGUGAAGCUUAUCAGGUGGUUACGCUCAGACAACCUCAUUUUGCAGCACGUCCAAUCCGAGAACUUAAUCACCACGGACGAAUACACAAAACUUAAAAUGAUCUCAGAUCCAGGAACACAAAUAACAGAGCUCUUGGAUCUAAUGUUGCAAAAGGAAAAUAAAGUUUGCUUCAAGUUUUUAGAGCUGCUGAAAGAUGAUGAUGUGAAUGAAAGCAGCCCAGCGCUCAGGGAGUGGAUCAAAUCAGUAAAUACCACCUUAGAAACACAACUACAUGCUCCUCAGGAUCCUCAGCCUCCUCAGGGCAAUCGGCCAAGUGACUCAGUGAAUAUUGAUGCACAUUCCAGCAAUGUUACGGCCUGUUUAAUAAUCAAGUCUAAUGUUUCUGAUGUCACUAUGAACAUCAAUCAUGGAAACUGACUAAUGAGAACCUACAUAUUACAUAACAGUAUUGCCAUGAACAAUAAUCCAAGACUUACAGAUAAUGAAAUGUUUUUGAAGAGGAACCGAGGAAAACUUAUUGAUAAAGUAAAAGCGGUCGAUAGAAUUGUUGAUGACCUCAACUUUACUGGUGAAAAGGCAGAAAGAGUACAAGCUGAGCAAACAGAUCAGGCCAAGAUGAGGAAACUUCUGGACUACACAACCACCAAAAAAGCUGCUCAGCUUCUGGUUAAUGCCUUGUAUAAACAUGAAGCUGAUGUCAUGGAGGAGCUGACCAUGGCCUAAAAUCCCGGCUCAGCAUUUUAAACCUACUUAUUGAUGAUGCAGGGAAUAAAUUACACACCAAGUAUGUCAACGUUUUUUAAGAUUUUAUAAGGUGUAUACAUGUGUUUUAUAUCACGCAUGACCAUCAUUCCAUGUAUUUUUUAUUAUUUUUUUUUUACAGUUUUAUGUUGUUAUUUACUUGGGAUAAAUAUGUAAAAAUCUAUUAACUUGGUGUUAUUAUGCAAAAAGGCCAAUCAAAAUUUUAAGAUGGAAAAUUAAUAAAUACACAAAUUUAUUAGCAAUAUUGAGCGAAGUAUUGUGUAUGUUUUUCGUGUGUGUGUGUUUUAUGUAAAGGUCCUAAUUGUUUGUUUAAACCAAUUUGACUGCAAUUUAUUGCAACAAUAUUCUGUUUUGCUAGCAUCCCUGUCCUCUCUGUCAGGAGGCAGUGUGUGUUAAUAGAACUGUGCGGCAGAGUGAUCUUUACCUGGUAAUCCUGCUAGAAAAGCACAGAGUAUUCGAUCUAUAAGGCAAAAAUAAAACAAAUUACCCUGCACUUUACCUUUUGAAAAAAAGUAAAAAAUAAGGGUUAAAUAAGGGAGAAAAUUCAUCUUUAACCUUUCUAAUGAGAUUUUUUUUUUGCUUUACACACACGCAUACAAACACAAAAUAAAAUAUGUUUUACACACUCACAUGUGGUCACAGUGUUAUAACAAACAGUAUACGCAUGCACGGAUGUUGAAUAUACCAGUGAGAGACACGCACUAAAACCCAGCCGGGGAGGCGAUUAAUCACAAUUCUGCAGCGCAAGAGAGAGAAAAACCAUUGGCUCCGUUGUGGUCACAUGACACUCAAAGUGAUACAACAAGAAGUGC